CGCGAGGGGGAGCCAAUCCCAGAAACCCGAUCGUAGUCCGGAUCGCAGUCUGCAACUCGACUGCGUGAAGUCGGAAUCGCUAGUAAUCGCGGAUCAGCAUGUCGCGGUGAAUACGUUCCCGGGUCUUGUACACACCGCCCGUCACACCAUGGGAGUGGGUUUUACCAGAAGUAGUUAGCCUAACCGCAAGGAGGGCGAUACCACGG
Molecule: ribosomal RNA, 206 nt
Filed under: Achromobacter sp. enrichment culture clone AYS3
Lineage: Bacteria; Pseudomonadati; Pseudomonadota; Betaproteobacteria; Burkholderiales; Alcaligenaceae
Description: partial 16S ribosomal RNA
Rfam family: Bacterial small subunit ribosomal RNA
Source: RNAcentral